Molecule: ribosomal RNA, 292 nt
Filed under: uncultured bacterium
Lineage: Bacteria
Description: partial 16S ribosomal RNA
Rfam family: Bacterial small subunit ribosomal RNA
Source: RNAcentral
GUGCCAGCCGCCGCGGUAAUACGUAGGGGGCGAGCGUUGUCCGGAUUGACUGGGCGUAAAGCGCGCGCAGGCGGCCUGACGCGCCGGCCGUGAAAUCCCCCGGCUCAACCGGGGCGGGUCGGUCGGGACGGUCAGGCUGGAGGGUGUCAGAGGGGGGUGGAAUGCCGCGUGGAGCAGUGAAAUGCGUAGAGAUGCGGCGGAACACCGGCGGCGAAGGCGGCCCCCUGGGGCACAUCUGACGCUGAGGCGCGAAGGCCGGGGGAGCGAACGGGAUUAGAAACCCGUGUAGUCC